CCUACGGGGGGCAGCAGUGGGGAAUAUUGGACAAUGGGGGGAACCCUGAUCCAGCCAUGCCGCGUGUGUGAAGAAGGCCCUCGGGUUGUAAAGCACUUUCAGUGAGGAAGAACGCCUGGUGGUUAAUACCCAUCAGGAAAGACAUCACUCACAGAAGAAGCACCGGCUAACUCCGUGCCAGCAGCCGCGGUAAUACGGAGGGUGCGAGCGUUAAUCGGAAUUACUGGGCGUAAAGCGCGCGUAGGUGGCUUGAUAAGCCGGUUGUGAAAGCCCCGGGCUCAACCCGGGAACGGCAUCCGGAACUGUCAAGCUAGAGUGCAGGAGAGGAAGGUAGAAUUCCCGGUGUAGCGGUGAAAUGCGUAGAGAUCGGGAGGAAUACCAGUGGCGAAGGCGGCCUUCUGGACUGACACUGACACUGAGGUGCGAAAGCGUGGGUAGCAAACAGGAUUAGAUACCCCAGUAGUC
Molecule: ribosomal RNA, 465 nt
Filed under: Vreelandella stevensii
Lineage: Bacteria; Pseudomonadati; Pseudomonadota; Gammaproteobacteria; Oceanospirillales; Halomonadaceae
Description: partial 16S ribosomal RNA
Rfam family: Bacterial small subunit ribosomal RNA
Source: RNAcentral